This is a long non-coding RNA of Suricata suricatta (meerkat), 632 nucleotides long. RefSeq lists it as uncharacterized. The record is from RefSeq and is a predicted model, not a curated record. NCBI's taxonomy places the organism in Eukaryota, Metazoa, Chordata, Mammalia, Carnivora, Herpestidae. The transcript has 3 exons.
AGCCAGCCGUUGCUGCGGGCAAACUCCGCGCUGCGCGCUGUCCCCACCCCGUGCGUGAGCUCCUUCCUCACGUCCGUCCCCCAGGUGCGGCUCACCACAAGGCCCGUCGUUCCAGAGGAGACAACUGUGGCCCGACAUAGCACAGCUGAGAUCAGAGGCCAGUCCCAGAGUCCAGAUUGUGGUCGCGCUGGGCCACUUGGUCACCCACAAACAGGUGACCCCAACCCAGAGAGAUCAGAGCUGGAGCGAGGAGUGUACAGGAGCGCGUGACAGCCCGAGGAGGCUCCAGAUCCAUGCAGGAGCAGCAGGGAGGUCUUCCUGGAGGAGGGGAUGAGGACGCAGCGAGGAACAGGACGGUCGAGACGCCUGAUCUCACGGAGCCGACGGGUUUAGAGGCAGCACUGAACACGUAACAACGCCCCAUGAACUCUGGGCGAAUCGGAACAGCCGCCGGAUAUCUUGUGUUUGGAACUCUGCUGAGCAAGCCCAGGCUUUGUGGCUCGAUUCCCGUGCACUACUGAGGUCGGGUCUCUCUCCCCCUCCCUCCUGCUGCUUUGCCCCUCCCCGCUCCCGCUUUAGCCCGAUACACAUGGUGACACUGUGUAAAUGAAAUGCCCUAUGUUAUGAUUCUA